CCAAUAGCGUAUAUUAAAGUUGUUGCAGUUAAAAAGCUCGUAGUUGAAUUUCGGGAUUAAUUUACUGGUCGUGCUAUCGUACGUACUGGUUUUAUUGAUUCCUACCUUCUGACGAACCAUGAUGCCAUUAAUUUGGUGUCUUGGGGAAUCAGGACUGUUACUUUGAAAAAAUUAGAGUGUUUAAAGCAGGCUCACGCUUGAAUACAUUAGCAUGGAAUAACGAAAUAGGACGUUUGAUUCUAUUUUGUUGGUUUCUAGAAUCGACGUAAUGAUUAAUAGGGAUAGUUGGGGGCAUUAGUAUUCAAUUGUCAGAGGUGAAAUUCUUGGAUUUAUUGAAGACUAACUACUGCGAAAGCAUUUGCCAAGGAUGUUUUCAUUAAUCAAGAACGAAAGUUAGGGGAUCGAAGACGAUCAGAUACCGUCGUAGUCUUAACCAUAAACUAUGCCGACUAGGGAUCGGAUGAUGUUAAUUUUUUAAUGACUCA
RNAcentral lists this ribosomal RNA (485 nucleotides) under Glomus sp. Its description in RNAcentral is "SSU rRNA". It matches the Rfam family "Eukaryotic small subunit ribosomal RNA", at positions 591 to 1078 of the family's 1831-position model. Lineage: Eukaryota; Fungi; Glomeromycota; Glomeromycetes; Glomerales; Glomeraceae. The record is from RNAcentral.